UACGUAGGGUGCAAGCGUUGUCCGGAAUUAUUGGGCGUAAAGAGCUUGUAGGCGGUUUGUCGCGUCUGCUGUGAAAACCUAAGGCUCAACCUUGGGCUUGCAGUGGGUACGGGCAGACUAGAGUGCGGUAGGGGUGACUGGAAUUCCUGGUGUAGCGGUGGAAUGCGCAGAUAUCAGGAGGAACACCGAUGGCGAAGGCAGGUCACUGGGCCGCAACUGACGCUGAGGAGCGAAAGCAUGGGGAGCGAACAGG
This 253-nucleotide ribosomal RNA is filed under the name uncultured bacterium. RNAcentral's name for it is "partial 16S ribosomal RNA". It matches the Rfam family "Bacterial small subunit ribosomal RNA", at positions 524 to 776 of the family's 1533-position model. The record is from RNAcentral.